UACGUAGGGGGCAAGCGUUGUCCGGAUUUAUUGGGCGUAAAGAGCGUGUAGGCGGCCUGACAGGUCAGCUGUGAAAACUCGAGGCUCAACCUCGAGACGUCGGUUGAAACCAUCUGGCUAGAGUCCGGAAGAGGAGAGUGGAAUUCCCGGUGUAGCGGUGAAAUGCGCAGAUAUCGGGAGGAACACCAAUUGCGAAGGCAGCUCGCUGGGACGUUACUGACGCUGAGACGCGAAAGCGUGGGGAGCAAACAGG
This 253-nucleotide ribosomal RNA is filed under the name uncultured bacterium. Its description in RNAcentral is "partial 16S ribosomal RNA". It matches the Rfam family "Bacterial small subunit ribosomal RNA", at positions 524 to 776 of the family's 1533-position model. The record is from RNAcentral.